Non-coding RNA from Lupinus albus (white lupine), 345 nucleotides. NCBI's taxonomy places the organism in Eukaryota, Viridiplantae, Streptophyta, Magnoliopsida, Fabales, Fabaceae. The record is from the annotation of a GenBank genome assembly.
GAUUCGUUAGAAUCUUAUAACAUAACAACAUUAUUUCGAUCUAGUUAUAUAUAUAUAGAUAGCAGCAAUUGUCUAAUUGUAGUCUAUAAGAAUACAUGUUUAGUUAUAUAUCAAAACAAGAUAUACAAAUUGUCAAUAGACCAAUGGGUUCUAUAAAAUCUCAAAAAAUUCCGCGAUUCUAUCAUAUUCUUCAUUAAAGAUAUGUAUGUAUUUUCUAUUAUUUUAUCAGUUAAAUCUAUUUAUUUUUGAACCAUUUUAUUCGUGAGGAGCCGUAUGAGGUGAAAAUCUCAUGUACAGUUCUGUAAUAGCGAUGGAAUUGAAAAACAACCAACCAUCAACUAUAAC